UGAAGAGCCGCGGUAUUUUGACCGUGCAAAGGUAGCAUAAUCAUUAGUCUCUUAAUUAGGGGCUGGAAUGAAUGGCUUGACGAGAAAUCAACUGUCUCUUAAUAAUUUUUAAAAUUUAACUUUUGAGUUAAAAGGCUUAAAUUUUUCUUUAGGACGAGAAGACCCUAUAGAGCUUGACAUCUUACUUUUAUAUAGUUUUUAGUUGGUCUUUCUAUAUGAAAUGAUAAUGUUUUGUUGGGGUGACAUGAAGAAUAAAUAAACUCUUCAUUAUAUAAUCAUUGAUUUAUGUUUAUUAUGAUCCAUAAUUUAUGAUCACAAGAUUAAGUUACCUUAGGGAUAACAGCGUAAUUGUUUUCGAGAGCUCAUAUCGACAAAGCAGAUUGCGACCUCGAUGUUGGAUUAAGAAAAAUGUUGAGUGCAGUAGCUCAAUAAUUAGGUCUGUUCGACCUUUAAAUUCUUAC
Molecule: ribosomal RNA, 461 nt
Filed under: Eyprepocnemis plorans
Lineage: Eukaryota; Metazoa; Arthropoda; Insecta; Orthoptera; Acrididae
Description: partial 16S ribosomal RNA
Rfam family: Archaeal large subunit ribosomal RNA
Source: RNAcentral